This 253-nucleotide ribosomal RNA is filed under the name uncultured bacterium. RNAcentral's name for it is "partial 16S ribosomal RNA". It matches the Rfam family "Bacterial small subunit ribosomal RNA", at positions 524 to 776 of the family's 1533-position model. The record is from RNAcentral.
UACGUAGGGGGCUAGCGUUGUCCGGAAUCAUUGGGCGUAAAGCGCGUGUAGGCGGUCCGGUAAGUCCGCUGUGAAAGUCGGGGGCUCAACCCUCGGAUGCCGGUGGAUACUGUCGGGCUUGAGUACGGAAGAGGCGAGUGGAAUUCCUGGUGUAGCGGUGAAAUGCGCAGAUAUCAGGAGGAACACCAAUUGCGAAGGCAGCUCGCUGGGACGUUACUGACACUGAGAAGCGAAAGCAUGGGGAGCGAACAGG